Molecule: ribosomal RNA, 253 nt
Filed under: uncultured bacterium
Lineage: Bacteria
Description: partial 16S ribosomal RNA
Rfam family: Bacterial small subunit ribosomal RNA
Source: RNAcentral
UACGGAGGGUGCGAGCGUUGUCCGGAAUCACUGGGCGUAAAGAGCUCGUAGGCGGCUUGUCACGUCGACUGUGAAAACCCGGGGCUCAACUCCGGGCCUGCAGUCGAUACGGGCUGGCUUGAGUGCGGUAGGGGAGACUGGAAUUCCUGGUGUAGCGGUGAAAUGCGCAGAUAUCAGGAGGAACACCGGUGGCGAAGGCGGGUCUCUGGGACGGAACUGACGCUAAGGCGCGAAAGCGUGGGGAGCGAACAGG